CCAACCAUGCGCAGGAGACAGAUGUGAACCAUAGUGCCAUAUGUGAACAGGGAACAGCCGCAUAGGAUUUGGAUAAGGGGGAAAGAAUUACAGACUUCUCAGACAGGGGCACUGGGCAGAGGACGUGUGGUGAGAAUAAAGUGUUUUUAUUAGAAAGAAUGGAUGGACAGGGUCGCAUCGAUUCAUUCAUUUCAUCAUUUGAUUUCUUGGUGGGACAUCGACGACGGUCAGGUAAAAUAAUCAGGCAUUAAUGUGAAAAAGCAGUAACAGUAGAUCGAUGCCCUGAGAGCUCUGCCUUUUCUCCCGGCAUAUUUGGUGAGUUAUUCGGUUAUAUGUUUCGAAAAAAAUAUUGAUUCAGUUAAGCAUACAUGCAUUGGCAUGGUUUUUGCAACAAAACUAAGUAGAUGCGUAGACAGUUGCAACAAAAUAACUUAUAGCAGGAAUGGUAAACUUUUAAAUUAUUAAUGUUUUCUUGGCAAUUUUCCCGGAUUCUUUGAUGUUGGAAUUUUGUCCCAUCCCAAUUCAAGUCUAAACUCAAUACAAGAAAAUCCUCGGUAAGCA
RNAcentral lists this long non-coding RNA (561 nucleotides) under Setaria viridis. RNAcentral describes it as "long non-coding RNA (SVIR_LNC007393)". Lineage: Eukaryota; Viridiplantae; Streptophyta; Magnoliopsida; Poales; Poaceae. The record is from RNAcentral.